RNAcentral lists this transfer RNA (73 nucleotides) under Dermacentor silvarum. RNAcentral's name for it is "transfer RNA threonine (anticodon CGU)". It matches the Rfam family "tRNA". From Rfam's summary of the family: Transfer RNA (tRNA) molecules are approximately 80 nucleotides in length. Their secondary structure includes four short double-helical elements and three loops (D, anti-codon, and T loops). The record is from RNAcentral. Lineage: Eukaryota; Metazoa; Arthropoda; Arachnida; Ixodida; Ixodidae.
GUCGCCGUAGCACAAUUGGUAGUGCAACGCACUCGUAAUGCGGAGGUUGCGGGUUCGGCUCCCGCCGGCGACA